AAAACUCUACCACCUUUUCAUUCUCUCGACUUUUCUUCUCUCUCGGUCUCUCUUCUCUUCUCCUGUUUCUCCAGACUUUCCGUCUCCAUCUCUCUUAUCUUCUUACACAACUAUAAGUUUUAGACAAUGCCUGAAAAUCAGGAAACCUUCCUAACCUCUAGUGUUGGGAAACCUCCCUAACCUCUAGGGUUGCCGGUUCAAAGAGAAGUGAUCCUAGAUGAAAAUAUAUAGAUAUAGUUAACAAAGAUACAAACUCUACUCGCUGUAUUUUUUUUUCCUUCACAAAAUUGAUUAAUGGAGGAAUAAUAAGAGGCUAAGACCAUCUAACGGAAGGAAGUGUAAUGUUCAAGCUUGCACCAAAUGUUCAUACCAAAUAACUUUAAAGAUUAUGUUGAAGUUAGAGAAGAAAACCAGAGAUUUAAUAAUGUUUUAUAGUUCUGUUUUAUAAUGUCUUUUAUAAAUGAAAUAUUUUGAGGUGUACUUAAGACCUGCAACAUCUAUUUUAUUUACUUUAUAUA
Lathyrus oleraceus (garden pea) is the source of this 518-nucleotide long non-coding RNA. RefSeq lists it as uncharacterized. The transcript is spliced from 2 exons. The record is from RefSeq and is a predicted model, not a curated record. NCBI's taxonomy places the organism in Eukaryota, Viridiplantae, Streptophyta, Magnoliopsida, Fabales, Fabaceae.